GAUGAACGCUGGCGGCGUGCCUAAUACAUGCAAGUCGAGCGAACAGACGAGGAGCUUGCUCCUCUGACGUUAGCGGCGGACGGGUGAGUAACACGUGGAUAACCUACCUAUAAGACUGGGAUAACUUCGGGAAACCGGAGCUAAUACCGGAUAAUAUAUUGAGCCGCAUGGUUCAAUAGUGAAAGACGGUUUUGCUGUCACUUAUAGAUGGAUCCGCGCCGCAUUAGCUAGUUGGUAAGGUAACGGCUUACCAAGGCGACGAUGCGUAGCCGACCUGAGAGGGUGAUCGGCCACACUGGAACUGAGACACGGUCCAGACUCCUACGGGAGGCAGCAGUAGGGAAUCUUCCGCAAUGGGCGAAAGCUUGACGGAGCAACGCCGCGUGAGUGAUGAAGGUCUUCGGAUCGUAAAACUCUGUUAUUAGGGAAGAACAAAUGUGUAAGUAACUAUGCACGUCUUGACGGUACCUAAUCAGAAAGCCACGGCUAACUACGUG
RNAcentral lists this ribosomal RNA (497 nucleotides) under uncultured bacterium. RNAcentral's name for it is "partial 16S ribosomal RNA". It matches the Rfam family "Bacterial small subunit ribosomal RNA", at positions 28 to 507 of the family's 1533-position model. The record is from RNAcentral.